GGCCUUAUGGUCUAGUAGUAUGAUUCUCGCUUUGGGUGCGAGAGGUCCGGGGUUCAAUUCCCCGUGAGGACC
Molecule: transfer RNA, 72 nt
Filed under: Rhizoclosmatium globosum
Lineage: Eukaryota; Fungi; Chytridiomycota; Chytridiomycetes; Chytridiales; Chytriomycetaceae
Rfam family: tRNA
About the family: Transfer RNA (tRNA) molecules are approximately 80 nucleotides in length. Their secondary structure includes four short double-helical elements and three loops (D, anti-codon, and T loops). Further hydrogen bonds mediate the characteristic L-shaped molecular structure. tRNAs have two regions of fundamental functional importance: the anti-codon, which is responsible for specific mRNA codon recognition, and the 3' end, to which the tRNAs corresponding amino acid is attached (by aminoacyl-tRNA synthetases). tRNAs cope with the degeneracy of the genetic code in two manners: having more than one tRNA (with a specific anti-codon) for a particular amino acid; and 'wobble' base-pairing, i.e. permitting non-standard base-pairing at the 3rd anti-codon position.
Source: Rfam by way of RNAcentral